This 497-nucleotide ribosomal RNA is filed under the name uncultured bacterium. RNAcentral describes it as "partial 16S ribosomal RNA". It matches the Rfam family "Bacterial small subunit ribosomal RNA", at positions 28 to 507 of the family's 1533-position model. The record is from RNAcentral.
GAUGAACGCUGGCGGCGUGCCUAAUACAUGCAAGUCGAGCGAACGGACGAGAAGCUUGCUUCUCUGAUGUUAGCGGCGGACGGGUGAGUAACACGUGGAUAACCUACCUAUAAGACUGGGAUAACUUCGGGAAACCGGAGCUAAUACCGGAUAAUAUUUUGAACCGCAUGGUUCAAAAGUGAAAGACGGUCUUGCUGUCACUUAUAGAUGGAUCCGCGCUGCAUUAGCUAGUUGGUAAGGUAACGGCUUACCAAGGCAACGAUGCAUAGCCGACCUGAGAGGGGGAUCGGCCACACUGGAACGGAGACACGGUCCAGACGCCUACGGGAGGCAGCAGUAGGGAAUCUUCCGCAAUGGGCGAAAGCCUGACGGAGCAACGCCGCGUGAGUGAUGAAGGUCUUCGGAUCGUAAAACCCUGUUAUUAGGGAAGAACAUAUGUGUAAGUAACUGUGCACAUCUUGACGGUACCUAAUCAGAAAGCCACGGCUAACUACGUG